This 1348-nucleotide ribosomal RNA is filed under the name metagenome. RNAcentral describes it as "SSU rRNA". It matches the Rfam family "Eukaryotic small subunit ribosomal RNA", at positions 3 to 1364 of the family's 1831-position model. The record is from RNAcentral.
CCUGGUUGAUUCUGCCAGUAGUCAUAUGCUUGUCUCAAAGAUUAAGCCAUGCAUGUCUAAGUAUAAGCAAUUAUACGGCGAAACUGCGAAUGGCUCAUUAAAUCAGUUAUCGUUUACUUGAUAGACCCAUACUACUUGGAUAACCGUGGUAAUUCUAGAGCUAAUACAUGCGAAAAACCGCGACUUCGGAAGCGGUGUAUUUAUUAGAUUAAAGACCAAUGCCCUUCGGGGCUGACUGGUGAUUCAUGAUAACUUCACGAAUCGCACGGCCUUGCGCCGGCGAUGGCUCAUUCAAAUUUCUGCCCUAUCAACUUUCGACUUUAGUGUAGUGGACUAAAGUGGUUGCAACGGGUAACGGAGGGUUAGGGCUCGACCCCGGAGAAGGAGCCUGAGAGACGGCUACUACAUCCAAGGAAGGCAGCAGGCGCGCAAAUUACCCAAUCCCGACCCGGGGAGGUAGUGACAAUAAAUACUGAUACAGGGCUCUUUUGGGUCUUGUAAUUGGAAUGAGUACAAUUUAAAUCUCUUAACGAGGAACAAUUGGAGGGCAAGUCUGGUGCCAGCAGCCGCGGUAAUUCCAGCUCCAAUAGCGUAUAUUAAAGUUGUUGUGGUUAAAAAGCUCGUAGUUGAACCUGGGCCUCGCGCAGACCGGUCCGCCUCACCGCGUGCACUGGUCCUGCCGGGGCUUUCACUAGGGGAUUCGCAUGUCCUUCACUGGGCGUGUGCGGAGCCUGGACUUUUACUGUGAAAAAAUUAGAGUGUUCAAAGCAGGCCUAUGCUCGAAUACAUUAGCAUGGAAUAAUAGAAUAGGACGUGUGGUUCUAUUUUGUUGGUUAUGGGACCGCCGUAAUGAUUAAUAGGGACAGUCGGGGGCAUCAGUAUUCAAUAGUCAGAGGUGAAAUUCUUGGAUUUAUUGAAGACUAACUACUGCGAAAGCAUUUGCCAAGGAUGUUUUCAUUAAUCAGGAACGAAAGUUAGGGGAUCGAAGACGAUCAGAUACCGUCGUAGUCUUAACCAUAAACUAUGCCGACUAGGGAUCGGGCGAUGUUAUUUUUUGACUCGCUCGGCACCUUACGAGAAAUCAAAGUCUGUGGGUUCCUGGGGGAGUAUGGUGGCAACGCUGAAACUUAAAGAAAUUGACGGAAGGGCACCACCAGGAGUGGAGCCUGCGGCUUAAUUUGACUCAACACGGGGAAACUCACCAGGUCCAGACACAAUGAGGAUUGACAGAUUGAGAGCUCUUUCUUGAUUUUGUGGGUGGUGGUGCAUGGCCGUUCUUAGUUGGUGGAGUGAUUUGUCUGCUUAAUUGCGAUAACGAACGAGACCUUAACCUGCUAAAUAGCCCGCG